GCGAGGGUGGCGGAACUGGCAGACGCGUACGGCUUAGGACCGUAUGCCGAAAGGCUUGAGGGUUCGAGUCCCUUCCCUCGCA
This 82-nucleotide transfer RNA is filed under the name Elusimicrobiota bacterium. RNAcentral's name for it is "Elusimicrobia bacterium (activated sludge metagenome) tRNA-Leu". It matches the Rfam family "tRNA". From Rfam's summary of the family: Transfer RNA (tRNA) molecules are approximately 80 nucleotides in length. Their secondary structure includes four short double-helical elements and three loops (D, anti-codon, and T loops). The record is from RNAcentral. Lineage: Bacteria; Pseudomonadati; Elusimicrobiota.